RNAcentral lists this ribosomal RNA (253 nucleotides) under uncultured bacterium. Its description in RNAcentral is "partial 16S ribosomal RNA". It matches the Rfam family "Bacterial small subunit ribosomal RNA", at positions 524 to 776 of the family's 1533-position model. The record is from RNAcentral.
UACGUAGGGUCCGAGCGUUGUCCGGAAUUAUUGGGCGUAAAGGGCUCGUAGGCGGUUCGUCACGUCGGGAGUGAAAACUCGGGGCUUAACCCCGAGCCUGCUUCCGAUACGGGCAGACUAGAGGUAGGCAGGGGAGAGCGGAACUCCUGGUGUAGCGGUGGAAUGCGCAGAUAUCAGGAAGAACACCGGUGGCGAAGGCGGUUCUCUGGGCCUUACCUGACGCUGAGGAGCGAAAGCGUGGGGAGCGAACAGG